RNAcentral lists this ribosomal RNA (245 nucleotides) under uncultured bacterium. Its description in RNAcentral is "partial small subunit ribosomal RNA". It matches the Rfam family "Bacterial small subunit ribosomal RNA", at positions 26 to 285 of the family's 1533-position model. The record is from RNAcentral.
AGAAUCAACGCUGGCGGCGUGCCUAACACGUGCAAGUCGAACGAGAAAGUGGAGCAAUCCAUGAGUAAAGUGGCGCACGGGUGAGUAACACGUGACUAACCUACCCUUGAGUGGGGGAUAACCUAGAGAAAUCUGGGCUAAUACCGCAUAAUACCUUCGGGUCAAAGGAGCAAUUCGCUUAAGGAGGGGGUCGCGGCCGAUUAGUUAGUUGGCGGGGUAAUGGCCCACCAAGACUGUGAUCGGUA